RNAcentral lists this ribosomal RNA (449 nucleotides) under uncultured bacterium. RNAcentral describes it as "partial 16S ribosomal RNA". It matches the Rfam family "Bacterial small subunit ribosomal RNA", at positions 29 to 523 of the family's 1533-position model. The record is from RNAcentral.
AGCGAACGCUGGCGGCAGGCCUAACACACGCAAGUCGAACGAACCCUUCGGGGUUAGUGGCGGACGGGUGAGUAACACGUGGGAACGUGCCUUUAGGUUCGGAAUAACUCAGGGAAACUUGUGCUAAUACCGAAUGUGCCCUUCGGGGGAAAGAUUUAUCGCCUUUAGAGCGGCCCGCGUCUGAUUAGCUAGUUGGUGAGGUAAUGGCUCACCAAGGCUACGAUCAGUAGCUGGUCUGAGAGGAUGACCAGCCACAUUGGGACUGAGACACGGCCCAAACUCCUACGGGAGGCAGCAGUGGGGAAUCUUGCGCAAUGGGCGAAAGCCUGACGCAGCCAUGCCGCGUGGAUGAUGAAGGUCUUAGGAUUGUAAAAUCCUUUCACCGGUGAAGAUAAUGACUGUAGCCGGAGAAGAAGCCCCGGCUAACUUCGUGCCAGCCGCCGCAGUAA